Molecule: microRNA precursor, 116 nt
Filed under: Bigelowiella natans CCMP2755
Lineage: Eukaryota; Cercozoa; Chlorarachniophyceae
Description: miRNA EPrBNAG00000013352
Source: RNAcentral
UCAUGAUGACGACGACGAUGACGAUGAUGAUAAUGACAAGCAGCCUUAUGAAACUAUAAUGCCAUUCUUAAAUACACUCAUCAUCGUCAUCAUCAUCGUCAUCAUCGUCAUCAUUU